Molecule: ribosomal RNA, 253 nt
Filed under: uncultured bacterium
Lineage: Bacteria
Description: partial 16S ribosomal RNA
Rfam family: Bacterial small subunit ribosomal RNA
Source: RNAcentral
UACGUAGGGGGCAAGCGUUAUCCGGAUUUACUGGGUGUAAAGGGAGCGUAGACGGCCAGACAAGUCUGAAGUGAAAAUCCAGCGCUUAACGUUGGAAGUGCUUUGGAAACUGCCGGGCUAGAGUGCAGGAGGGGCAGGCGGAAUUCCUAGUGUAGCGGUGAAAUGCGUAGAUAUUAGGAGGAACACCAGUGGCGAAGGCGGCCUGCUGGACUGCAACUGACGUUGAGGCUCGAAGGCGUGGGGAGCAAACAGG